UCAGAGUACGUGAAACUGCUUAGAGGUUAAGCCCGAUGAACCUGAAUAUCCAUUAUAGAAAAUUCAUCAUUAUGAUUUUAAUAUUAAUAAUAUUAUAAUAAUGGUGUGCAUUUUUUCUAUAAAAGGACAUUGUAAUCUAUUAACAUAAAAUUAUAUUUAUCAUAAGAUCAAUUUCGCGUAAGUUUAUUCAAAUUAUUUUGCUUGCAAUUUAAUAUCGAAUAAAUGCAUUUGAUUUGAUAAAGUGUUGACAGAUUUAUUAUAUAUAGUGCUUAAAUAUAUAUAUAUUUUAUAAUAGCAUAUUAAUCAUUGAUUUUUAUGUUUAUUUAUAUGCACUUAUAUGAUUAACAAUGCGAAAGAUUCAGGAUACCUUCGGGACCCGUCUUGAAACACGGACCAAGGAGUCUAACAUAUGUGCAAGUUAUUGGGUAUAAAAAACCUAAUAGCGAAAUUAACAUAACUUAUAUAAUGGGAUUAGUUUUUAGUCUAUUUUUAAUAGUCUAUUAAUUCAAUCCCGGGGCGUUCUAUACGGUUAUGUAUAAUAAUAUUUAUAUUAUUUAUGCCUCUAACUAGAGCGUACCUUGAGCAUAUAUGCUGUGACCCGAA
Molecule: ribosomal RNA, 603 nt
Filed under: Stevenia signata
Lineage: Eukaryota; Metazoa; Arthropoda; Insecta; Diptera; Rhinophoridae
Description: eukaryotic LSU rRNA
Rfam family: Eukaryotic large subunit ribosomal RNA
Source: RNAcentral